This 1372-nucleotide ribosomal RNA is filed under the name uncultured bacterium. RNAcentral's name for it is "bacterial SSU rRNA". It matches the Rfam family "Bacterial small subunit ribosomal RNA", at positions 28 to 1381 of the family's 1533-position model. The record is from RNAcentral.
GAUGAACGCUGGCUUCGUGCCUAAUACAUGCAAGUCGAGCGAACGGACGAGAAGCUUGCUUCUCUGAUGUUAGCGGCGGACGGGUGAGUAACACGUGGAUAACCUACCUAUAAGACUGGGAUAACUUCGGGAAACCGGAGCUAAUACCGGAUAAUAUUUUGAACCGCAUGGUUCAAAAGUGAAAGACGGUCUUGCUGUCACUUAUAGAUGGAUCCGCGCUGCAUUAGCUAGUUGGUAAGGUAACGGCUUACCAAGGCAACGAUGCAUAGCCGACCUGAGAGGGUGAUCGGCCACACUGGAACUGAGACACGGUCCAGACUCCUACGGGAGGCAGCAGUAGGGAAUCUUCCGCAAUGGGCGAAAGCCUGACGGAGCAACGCCGCGUGAGUGAUGAAGGUCUUCGGAUCGUAAAACUCUGUUAUUAGGGAAGAACAUAUGUGUAAGUAACUGUGCACAUCUUGACGGUACCUAAUCAGAAAGCCACGGCUAACUACGUGCCAGCAGCCGCGGUAAUACGUAGGUGGCAAGCGUUAUCCGGAAUUAUUGGGCGUAAAGCGCGCGUAGGCGGUUUUUUAAGUCUGAUGUGAAAGCCCACGGCUCAACCGUGGAGGGUCAUUGGAAACUGGAAAACUUGAGUGCAGAAGAGGAAAGUGGAAUUCCAUGUGUAGCGGUGAAAUGCGCAGAGAUAUGGAGGAACACCAGUGGCGAAGGCGACUUUCUGGUCUGUAACUGACGCUGAUGUGCGAAAGCGUGGGGAUCAAACAGGAUUAGAUACCCUGGUAGUCCACGCCGUAAACGAUGAGUGCUAAGUGUUAGGGGGUUUCCGCCCCUUAGUGCUGCAGCUAACGCAUUAAGCACUCCGCCUGGGGAGUACGACCGCAAGGUUGAAACUCAAAGGAAUUGACGGGGACCCGCACAAGCGGUGGAGCAUGUGGUUUAAUUCGAAGCAACGCGAAGAACCUUACCAAAUCUUGACAUCCUUUGACAACUCUAGAGAUAGAGCCUUCCCCUUCGGGGGACAAAGUGACAGGUGGUGCAUGGUUGUCGUCAGCUCGUGUCGUGAGAUGUUGGGUUAAGUCCCGCAACGAGCGCAACCCUUAAGCUUAGUUGCCAUCAUUAAGUUGGGCACUCUAAGUUGACUGCCGGUGACAAACCGGAGGAAGGUGGGGAUGACGUCAAAUCAUCAUGCCCCUUAUGAUUUGGGCUACACACGUGCUACAAUGGACAAUACAAAGGGCAGCGAAACCGCGAGGUCAAGCAAAUCCCAUAAAGUUGUUCUCAGUUCGGAUUGUAGUCUGCAACUCGACUACAUGAAGCUGGAAUCGCUAGUAAUCGUAGAUCAGCAUGCUACGGUGAAUACGUUCCCGGGUCU